RNAcentral lists this long non-coding RNA (16147 nucleotides) under Gallus gallus (chicken). Lineage: Eukaryota; Metazoa; Chordata; Aves; Galliformes; Phasianidae. The record is from RNAcentral.
UUUCUAGGAUCAGCAAAGUGGGGGAGGUUGUACAGCCCCCAUUUGGGUCCAGCGUACCUGGAAGAAGACUUACAUGAAUUAUACUAAGACCUAAAUCCCGAGGCUUACGAGUAAAUAAACAUCUCUCCAUCGCAUCACAGCCACCCUUUCAUUUCACCGGAGACAGCUGCUCUAACUGCCCCAAGCAUGGAGGAGGGGGUCAAAAAUUAGGGGAAAAAAAAAAAAAAGUAAAAAUAAAGAACCGAGUACAAGUGGAAGGCUUGGCGGCUUUUAACGCGAUUUCCCACGCUGGAGGAAGGGAGGGGGGGUUAAAAAGAACGGCGGAGAAGUGAGAGCGCUGCGGUGGGGGAGUGCUGGGUGAGGCCGGGCUGCGGGACAGCGCGCCCCGGGGAGCGAGGCCGAACCGAACCGAACCGAACCGUGCGGGGCCGUUCCCUCCCUCCCCGCUGCCGCGGCGGCCCCGGAGCGCGGGGGGCGGGCAGACCGGGCUCGCCUCGCCUCUGCUUUGGAGGGCGGGGGAGGAAGCGGAGCCGGCGGCCGCGGGUUGUUUUAGGGUUUGCUUUGGAGCGGGGAAGCCGGGAGCGCAGCCGGCGCGCAGAGCCCCGAGCCCGGGGGCGAAGUUCCGCUGCGGGGGCAGCCCGCCUUCUCCAACCCCUCCGCGGCACAACUUUCCUGCCCGGCCCCAGCAUGAACCAGACGGCCGGGGUGUCCAACAACGUGCGCUGCUCCAGCGGCAAGGGGCCCAAGGUAAGCGGGGCUGCCCGGUUCCCCUUUCUUCCGUCCCUAAACCCGUAGCCGGGAGCGCUUCCCCCAAAGCCGGAGCGGCAAUCCCCCCCCUCUCCCCUCCAUCCCAGCACUUCGCCAACUUCAGCGUUCCUUCUUGGCACCCGGGUUCACCCCUUCGGGGCUGUGGCUCGGGGAGGUGAUGACCGGGUUUGUAGGAACUAAAGAUGCUGCGGCCUCGCGGUCCCAAGCGCUGGAACGCUCCGAACUGGCGCUCCUGCUUCAAACGGGUUAAAAUGCUUUGAAGGGAAAGAUUAGUGCUGGUGUGUUGUGCGGGAUCAGGUAGAGCUGCCGUGUUCACUUCUUGCCACGGUGCGUUUGCCUACCCAGCAGAUGGAAAACAUAAAUAGCUGGGAUAAAGCACCUGAUUGUGCACUCAGCUGAAUGCAGCCAAGAUGUAAUUGGGUCCUCACACCUGAUUCCAGUCAAAUUUGAACUGUUUUUUUUUUUUUUCUUCUAGUACUAACUAGCAUGGCCCUUGUAUUUACCUAUAUGACAGUGCUACCCUAUAACGUUAAAUGGGAAUUGUGUGGGUUUGUGCCUUCUUGUAGGCAUUUCUAUUGAUGCUGCUUCUGCAACUCUUCAAAGCGUGUUUUGGUGUUUGUGUUUCUCUUUGGUGGGGUAUUAUUUACUUACUUAUUUAUCUGUUUUCUCCAAGGAUGUCAAAAACUGCAUUUUGUCAUGAGGUGUGUUCCUGUGCUGGCUAAUGGGAUGCACCUUAAAGGAAUGCAAAAUUUAUGGUUUGCUGGAAGUGGUGCUGUGGUAGCUUCUUAUAUUUUAUCACUAACACGGACUUCGUGUUCCAUCUUCUAGGCUUGAUGUCAUGUUAUUGUUUGAAAUGCCAGUGCUGCUGCUCACCUGGUUGGCAACUUUGUGUCUGGUCAGUGCAUACCCAUUUCCUGCAAGUUUGCAGGCUGAGCCACACAGAUUUAUAUCACACCUCUCCUGUAAAAUGAAUUCAGUCAUUGCUCCUUUUAUCAUCUGAUCUUUUAAGGAUUAAACCCAUUAAUCAUGCAUCUGCAUGAGUACUAAAAGAUGCUGCGUGAUGAGGGCUGUGGAAGUACACAAACAGUUCAGAUGAGUCUGCUGAAACUGUUUACUUAGCUCCAUGACUAAUCAUAUAUUUCAAGUUAAACCCAUUCAUGAGCACUUUGCAUAAUCAGAGAGCCUGAAAUUGGAGGUCCUUCAUGGAUCUUGCCUGUAAUUUCAAAGCUGAGCCUCCUUUCUUUGUACAUCUUGGUUUUGUUUGAGUUUUGGGUUGAACAGCAAGUGUUAUUGAGUAUCAGUAAUAAUUUAUUUUAUCAAGCUGCUAACCUAAUGCUUUAAUGCACAGGGAGGAGAUGGGGCUAAAAUGGUUGUAUUCUUAGCACAUGAUAAUUGGUACGUUUGUUGUCGUCUUGAAGGCAUCCUCAUUUUAUUUUCUGUAGGAAAUGCAUGUUUUUCCAUUGGAAAUAAAUGUAUUUUUUUUCAAGUCAGAAGAUUGACAUGAUUGAUGGUUUCAGGUUUUUAAUUAAAACAUAGAAAGCUCCAUGCACGACUGAUUCCAGGAAGAGUUCCGAAAUGGAACUGUAUAAAACAGGACUGAAAAACAAAGAAAACCCCAAUGUAAUAGACUAGAAAAGAGGCAGAAUGAAGGAGUGUUUUGUCACGCUGACUUCUGAAGCAUGGAAAUGCUUGUGAGACAUUAUUUUCCCCCCCAGAAAACCAGAUAUUAAACAACAACAAAACAUACAGAACUUUUCUGACCUUCCUGAUCUCUUAACUUCUUAACUCAUUGGCCAGUUUUAAUCAAAUCUGACAGAAUAAAAGUGUUGCAAACAUUGACUUUCUACAAGUGUCAUGGAAGUCGAUUGCUUAGUAGAGAAGAAUAACUAUUUGAUACCUGAGCAGGAGAAGAAGCAGGGGGAGAUCUGCCCUUACCUCCUUUUCUUGCACUUUCACAUUAGCUCACUCAGUGCUUGGAUAUAAAAAACACUGAGGACUGUUUAAAGACUGGGAGAGAAUGGGAGAAAGGAACGAGUGCAGAAUAAAUUCCCAGAAAAAGUGGGAGUUGUUGGUAGGAGAGUAGCAGUGAUGUGUGAGAGCUGGGGUAUUUGCAAGAGGGAUUGGGUUGUGCCAGUACUGUGGGUUGGAAAUCCAUUGCAAGUCAAACAUUGUUAUUUUCUUUGUUCAUGACAUAAGGUGGGGUUUUUUUUUGGUUCUUUUUUCUCUUCUCCCCUCCAAAAUACAUUGGCACUGUGUGUCAUCUGAAGGGCAGCAAUUGCCAAGUCACCGGGGCAAGGUCACUCUUCCUGGCUUCGCUGAUUUUUCAUCUCACUAGGCAAUAAGCACUGAGACUCCAACUUCCCUCUGCAGGAUUUACAGCUUUGCUCAGAUGCAAUGAGCAGUAGACGCAACGUUCUAAAAAGAGGGAUACUAUUAAGGGCCUUAAGUAAAUAGCUUGACUAUAAUGCCAAAUUGUAGUAAUGCAUAACUACUAAAACAUAUAUAUAUAUAUAUUGCUACUGAGAGAUCACAAUUUGUUGAUUAGACAGAACUAUAUUGAGAAGUAGUUUGUGUACAUACGGCUUCCAAUGCUCUUUUCUUCUGCCUAUGACUAAUCCCGUUGCCUUUCCUAAGACAAUUUGUGGGAGGAAGGCAAAUGGAUUCGCCCCAAUGCUAUAAUGAAAAGCUUUGUUGUGGGAAUAUUUCUGUCAUGUUUGGGUGCCUGGGGUAGUGAGCCUUACACUGCUGGGAGUCUACACAAAACCAGCCACUCCUCUUGUGUGGGCUAGGAGGAGGCUUCAACUCUAAGGAAGAAGACUUUUUUGGAAAGAUGGUUCACUUAUUUAGAUACAGGCAUAAGAAUUUGGGGGUCAGUUCCCAGUUGUCUCAUUUCGACAGGUUUCUUGAAGGAUUUAACAAGGGCUAGCUCCAUAUGGGGGCUCAGGCACUUCAACACUGCACAGUGCAGUUCCUGGCUCUUGGCUUUCAUUCAGUAGUGCGGAGCCUUGUGCCAGCUGAUAUGAGGCACAGAAGUUGUCUUAGAUUUUACUUCUUUUAUUAGAUUAUUUACCAAAGUAGGUGUUGUAGGAAGAAAUUCGUUUCAUAUUGGGACUCUGAAUUUCAUCCAUCUCGAGGGAGGAAAGUCUAAAGAAAACAUUGGGUGUCAUUUCUUUCUUUAGAAAGGAGUAAUUUCUGGGUUGGAGCCCAUCUGUGUACAGUGAGCAAGGAGGUAUCCCAGCGAGCAGGAUUUGUGGAUCUGGUGUCAUUUUAAGUGAUGAUGGGGAUUCAGAGCCUCAUGAGCUCCUAUCCUUUGGGAAACGGCAGUAGGUAGCAGGAGACUGGCUGCUCCACAGCAGGAACGUUCCUGUCUGCCCCCCUGGAGAUGGGCCAGUGCCUGUUCUUCAGUGAGGGGAUGGGGGUGGAAAUCCUCAAUGCCUCCUGGGGACAGAAGGAUGCACCAUCUCUUUGCUUUGUACGAAAAUGUAUUUAUCCAAACUGUUGGCAGCUAUGCACAAUCUGCAGGGUAAGGUUUGAAUCCCCCAGCUUCCUGCAGCAGCCUCAUCUGUAGAUUUGUGCUUGCUGGUUGGCACUACGCUGCUGCUGCUGAGUCCAUCUCUUCUGGCUUCUCUCUGACUGUAUCUUUGAAUGAAUAUAGCUGUGGUAGCUGUUUUGUGUGGAGCUGACUUGGACACAGUAUACAUCUUUCGUGUCAGGUCUCCUGUUGCCCCAUCAGAUAUGGGUGCAGCUUCUUUGGUGUACACCAGUAAACAAGAUAUGACCCCAGCAUCACGUCAGCAAUGAGUACUGAAAUAGCCUGCAUGCGUUCUGGGGGUAAUGCUUUCAUUUCGCUACCUAAAUUGCAGUGAUGGUUUGUUAGACGUUUACAUCUUUGCAUGGAUCUAGGCUUUAAUUUAUUCCUGAUUCAGAUCCCAGUGGGUGGGUAGAAGAUGAGUGUUUUCUUCUCCCAACAGGAGUGAUAGGAACCACUCAGACUAUAGUAAAAAGAAACAACACUGUGUUAAAACUGAACUACUAGUGUGUGUUUCCAUCAUGGCUUUCCUAGCUGUGUCUUAAAGGGCAUGUUUUAUGCUAUAACAGAUGCUAAGCAAUCACUCUUCCUCUCUUACCUUUAAGUAUGCCUACACCUUAAGAAAAGCUCAUUGAAUCAAAGUAUUGAGGUUGGGACAUCUGCCUGAGUAACUGUAACUUGAUUUUUAAUCAGCACUAAUGAAUGCCUGAGGAUAGCAGCAAAUCACUUGGAUAGAGGUUUUGUUUUGCUUUUAGUUUUGUGUUUUUUUCCUUUUAAAGGAGAGACAAUUGUACUAAUUAUCAAUUUCAGUACGCAAGAAAGUAGAUAGGAAAACAACUCAAUGAAGUAAUUUUAAUUCUUUGUAAAACUAAAAUAUGUGAGAGUAAGCUGAACUGGAUUUUACCUCUGCUUGCUCUCCCAUUAUUUUUUAAAAAGCAAUGUUAACCUGUAAGAAAAAGAAACUGUAUAUUUCGUGUGUCCCUUCAAAACAGGAUAUUUGCAUGGAGUUGCCCUGAUCUUAAGGGGCAGCUCAAACAGUUGUGGUCAAAUGUCAAUAAUGCCCUUUAAACACGAUAUUAAAGAGGUUAUUAUUAUUAUUUUUUUUAAUAGUAGCUUAUUCUUCAAACUGUUCUUUAAUAAGACAUUAUUGUAUCUGCACUUGAUGAACCUAACUCUCUUUUGCGUGAAUGAUUGCACCUAUUUGAAAUUUUCUUAUUUCAGUUGAAUUACUGCUUACUUAUUUUGGUUUAAUUGUGGAGAUUCAAUACCUCUAAAAUUAUGAAAGCAAUAGAGUCGUAGUGUCUUAGCACUUCUGGAUGCAGAAAAUACAGAUAGGGAAGCUGUUGUAGCUCCUGUCUGUUAUUGCUGAAGCGGAAACAAGUUCUUGCACAUUUUACUUGCACACUGAUUUUUACUGUGUGUGCCAAGUUACCAUGUAUGAGCACAACUAUGGAGUAUAUUUAUGAGUUGUCCAAUUUAAUACUCGAUCGGGAAUGUAAAGUUGACUUCUGUACCUAAUAAGUAUUAAAGUAGGACCUGGCAUGGCUGCUAGGGUUUUAUAGAAUGACCAGUCAGCUGUCUUCAAAAUCCAGCUCUACUUAACAGGCAGUUCCUUAAGAAGUCAUAUUUUCAUCUCAAAACAUCAGUCUUUAGAGUAGUCUAAUAUAGCAUUGCAUAAGCUUCCCAGCUAAGAUCAAGAGUUACUCCUGCUGGGUAGUCUAACCCUAUGGAAGCAGAAACAGUUCUUCCUUCAGAGAGCUUAGAAUUUAAGUUAACGAUAGAGGCAAAAAUCUGUGAGAAGGGGAGAAUCACUUUAAUUAUACAGACAGAGAAUUAAGCUGCUGAGUAUAACCUCCUAAACUUUACAGACGUAGCAUAAUAAUGAUCUUAAAUUCAGUGAAAACAGUUAGAGAAGGUAGCCUGCCAGUGAGUUUCUCUGACAUAGAAAAAGAAGGCAAAACUAGGCAUUGUCCACUUAAGAGCCAAUUAAUGCAUGUGCUGAUGAUAUCCCACAGAGAUAUCCCUCCCUACAAAAUAUGUUAUCCCUUUGCCCGCUGUAGGUGUUGGCAGGGGAGAGCUGGGGUCAAUUGAAAAUGGAGAACUGUGUUGACUUUGGAAAUCUGUAGACUUUGCUACUAGGAUUCUAGGAGUUGUUUUGGCUGCUCAUGGAGUAGCAUUUGUUUUAAUGUGGGGUGUGAACUGUGUAGUGUUGGUUCAACACUUUAUCCGUUUUUAGAGAACCUCCAACUCCUUUAUCCCUUGUGGAGGUUUUCUCACAAAGCAGCAGCAGAAGGCAAAGCCUGACAAAACUGAGAAACGUGAACUGUAAAUCAAGAACAAAAAAAUGGUAGGGAACUUCAGGGGAAGUGUUUGAAACUGUUUUUGUCACAUUCUCUCUCUUUUUGGUAAGCUGUAAGAUUUCAGUUGACAGCGUAUGGUGGAAGUGCUGAGUUACUGAGAGAGCUUCUGCUUCUGUUGGGGUAAAUGGAAAGACUUCAGAAAUUCCUAAAACUUUAAAGCAACGAAGCAUUAAGGAUUUUAUGAGUACUGACCAACUGUGGGAAAUUCUUGACUGUAACUCGCAUUAUUUCAGACAAUGAAAUCUACUUUCCCUGUAGUUCUCCCUGUACACCUGAUGAUUUUGUCAGUAAUUCCAGACAUAUUCCCUUGAGAGCUUCUUUGGACCAUCCUAGAGUCAGCUGUCCUGUAAAGUUUCCAUUAAUAGAAAAUUUCGCCAGGGGGAUGGCAAAAAUUUCAGUGGAAGUCUCCAAGUGUCCCUUGGAAGGAUAUGAAGGCAAAGGGAGAUGACCGGACUGACCUUAUAAAUUGACUGCUGAUCAAAAACCUACUGGUAGGGGUGAUGUUUUCCCCAAUUGGAGAGAAUGCAGUGGUGGAAUAGAACCUGUGAAAGAGUUCCUGCAGUGCUUAUUGAUGCUACUACUUCUCUUGGGUUUUUUUUUUUUUUUUGGUGAUGGGAAGUAAAAGGAGCAGGGUUGGUUGUAGUGUUGUGCAAGUGUGCACCAGCAAGAGUAUAAUUAGCCUGGAACAUCUGUUGUUUUAAGGGUCUGGAGAGACCAUGAGAAAAGAUCGGGAGAAGGACUGUCCUUUCACCAACAAAUGCUUGCCAGAAGCAUUAUGGCAGAGCUGUGCAGGGCUUGAGGGGUUCCAGCUGUGUGGGGGGUUUUGUUCUCCGUCUCUUCAGUGCCCUCUGACACAGGCAGCCUCAAGCUCUGAAUCUGAAUGAGCUCUGGGGAUCUGUGACACCAGAGCUAUCCUGCAACGGGUUUAUUUGUGGGUGCUGCUCUCUGCUGCUGUUUUUCAUCUUUAAUGAGAGCUGAACACACCAUAAAAUUUUAUUGGGUGUUUAUGCUAACAAAAUUAACUAACAGUUGGUGUUCUGAAAAAGCAGCCAGAGCUGUGAGCGCUAUAACUGGAAUCUGCAAUGGCUUUUUGACUGGUGUAGGACAGGGCAUAUGUGUAAGUACCAAUGUCACAUAACUGUAAACCACUUCAUAUUAACUUUUUAUUGACUAGAACUGAUUACUUGAAAUUUCAAGCGAAAUCUUAGUGUGAUGUGUACUAAAACAAAAUCAUGUUUUCAGGCAUUUAGAUAGCUAGAAACUGUGAAAAUGGUGUUGUUAAUUUAUAGUACCAAGACCAAUGGGCUGGCCAUCGAACUAAAUUAGUGUAUGAACUGGGUUGAAUAUCAGCCGGUGCUGAGAAAGAAGCAUGCAUUUACACAGGUACAGGAAGGUCUGAUUUGUAAUUCAUGGUGCCGCCAGAGACAAAGUUUGGUGUAAAGGCUUUUGAUAGCGCUCAAGAGAAAUGUCUCAAUUCAUGGAUUAAGCCCUGAGUUCCACUAGGUUGUUGGCCGAUGGGUUUUAGCUUUAUAUUUUUUUGUAUUGUCACUUUAUUAUAGAUUCCAGUUGAUUUUUGAGGCCAAACGCAGCUGUCAUCAUUCCUAAACAGGCUGCAUGUUUUCUUGGUCUUGAGUGUCUACAAUGAAAUCAGAGCAGUCAGUGCUAACUGCUCCAUACCAAGACUGGGACAAAUGCUUUAUGUGCACAUUUUAUGUGUUUUUUUUUCUUUUUUUCUUUCUUUGUUUUUUUUUUCUGUUGGCAAAAAAUUAUAGAAUCACAGAAUGGCUUGGGUUGGAAGGAACCUCAAAGGUCAUCCCUUUCCAACCCCCUGCCAUGAGCAGGGUUGCCAAAAAUAUGAAUGAGCACUUCCUUUGCAUGAUCUGCUAGCUCUUUGGUGGAGGAUAACAACUUUGUGACCCACUGAGUGGAAUUCCCAUUCUGUCUGUUCACCUUAUGUCGUGUUUAAAAUCUGAAGAGGAGCUUGUUAAAAUUAUGAAAUGGUGGGGUAUUGAGAAACACAGCAUAUACAGCACUUUCUAGGUGUUGUGUCUUCAAGUGGACAGAAUGAAAUAUGGUGCAGCAGUGGCAAGGCUCGUCAUCAAUGAGAGCCCCAGAGGGAAGUUUGGGGGCUAAUGAAUGUGCCAGGUGCUGGUCUCCUCCUAUCUCUGCCUGCAACUUGAAAAGGAACAGAACAUCAACGUUCUGAGGUCACAUAGCUUGCUUAUUUGCAGAUGGUAUCUCAAAUUGGAAUUCUAGGAGGAGGUAUAAAUUAUGGCAGACAGAUGUGUGCAGACAGCUGCUAAUUUACUGCUACUUAGGGCAGCAGAUACAUAAUGCGCUUCCUCAUCUCCCCCACCUUGAUGUAUUAGUUUAUGCUUUUAGGCUUUUGACUCUUCUUGGACUUCCCAUUAGUGUCCCAACAUCCUUGUACUUGCAGGUUUCUAGUGCAGGUUUUCUUAUUCAGGUAAGAUUUUGCUGGAUAGUGACCUCACACAGAGCCUUUGCCACUGCUUUAACUGUUCUCUGAAGUCGAAGAUCAGAUGGUUUUCAAACGAAACAUGUUCAGGAAAAGUCCAGCUGCAGGGACUCACUUCCUUCUAUUGUGCACUCCCUAGGAGCACUGGUUGCAUGUUGGGAUUCAAUUUUACUAGAGGCUUUGCAGCCAGAGAGCACAAUAUUAUUUCCUGCAUCAAAGAGCAUCCAUUUUAAAAUUUGUUCACUGGUUUAGGGUUCUCUCUCAAACUAAGGACUGUAUUCCUGGUGUUUUGUUCUUGUUCUUCAGCACUGAUUUCUGUGUGUGAUCCCAUUGAUUGUUAUGAGGCUUAUAUCGUGGUUGUGUCUGGAGCUCAAUGAAAGCGCGCACUGUAACACAUUUUGCUUGACGUGCAGUGUUGCCUGUCCUCUUGUCUGACCCCCCUGUGGCACAAUUAGUCUGCCAGCAGAGAGGCUGCCAAAGUUUUUCAGUCACUGGAAGUGUAGACAAUUGUUAUUGUUAUGGAUCUUCCACCGGGCUCAGGACUGCCCCUGGUUUUCCCAGGUUCUCCUCUGUGUGUGCUCUGUAUCUCCAUAUUUUCUUAUUUGUUCCCACGUUAAUCACUUGAGUUAUCUUGAUACUCCCAAAGGCUGCAGAGCAUCUUCCACUCCUUUAUUUGGGGUUUAUUCUUGCUUCCUUCCUGUGUCUCCUCUGCACCUACUGGUUUUCAUAGCAAAGAGAACACUGAAUAUUCCACAUUACAAAUAAAUUAGUUUUUUGUGAAUAAAGCUUGAUAGAUUUCCUUUAAGUAGUAAUAACAAUUUGAAGCUUUUUCUUCACCAUUUUAUGAGUGUUGCAGAUAAAGGACAUUCACGUUGUUAGUAGACCUGAAUACAGUGCUGAUGUGAUCUAUCCAACUGAUUCAGGUUGAAACAAUCUUUACAUAGUACUCUGAAAAGGUAAUGAUGGUUUCUGAUCACUACAGCGUGAGCUAUGGGGAAGGUAUUUUGAGCCACGGCUCAGAACUUGCACUUAAAAUUUGGAGCCACAUGUGGUCAUUGUAGAGCAUGCAAAGAUGUUAGCCAAGAGUGGAGAAAGGCAAGAAACUGGUUUGGGACCCUCAAAUUCAUGGCAGUGUUUCAGGUAUUUGAGUUCCUUCCCUCCCUUCCCCCUUCUCAAGCCAGUUGAAAACUUCAGUGCUUUUUUAUUACUUUAAUGGAAAGUAAUCAAUGCUGUGCACCAUCAUAGUAUGAUGAUCAAAAUACCUCAGAUACAAUAUUUUGCUGUCAAAUAUAGCUUUAAGUCACCUCCAAUGGCCUUUCUCAGGUACUCUCCUUCUGUAGCUUCAUUAUUUUUUACAGCAUACAUUUUGCAUCUGAAAAGUUCCAGUUUACAGCUGAUGUAGGCUAGCUGAAAGAGGCAAAAUUUUAUUGGUUUGCUUGUUCACUUAUUGUAACUGCAGGAGGGAGGUCUAUGUCUAAAUACUAAAUACUGGUGAUGUCAGCAGAAGAAACAUAUCUAAAUUUCUUGUGUGCUGAUGGAAGAAUUGCUCCUAAAGCUUUUUCUGUGUGUGAAGUUGAUUGUAGGACCCAGUAAGGAAAAACUGUGCUUUCUAGUGCUUAAAAUUUUAAUGGUUGCAGAAAAGUGGGUCUUCCAGCCCUUUAAAAUACAGUUUGUAGAGAUAUUAUCACAAAUAUCUUAGUAUUUCUUAAAAACUGCUUUCUUCUCACUUUCUUGUAAGCGCUUAUUAGAUUUGGGUUUUGAUGCAGAGAUCAUCCAGAAGAAAAAAAAAGUCAAAAUUUUAGCUAAAAGCUGACACUUCCAUAUAAUCUCAUUCUUUGGAAACAGAAAUUGUGAAGAGUUAGGGGAAAUCUAGCAAAUUACAAAGAAGUCUAACCACCUUUGUUCACAGUCUUAGCAAGUUAACAAAGACUGUAGUGCUGUUCGUAUGAAUGAUGACUGCAUUCAGCUGAAAAAUAGCCAUCCUUUGCAGAGGCUGAAGCAGUCAGAUGCACCCAAACACUGAAGUACGAUGAUUGCAUGUAAACGUUGUCAAAGCAAGGACAUAGAUUGAUCUUGUAUUGUGCAAAAGGUGUCUUCUGCCCCUUGAGGUGCCUGGAAGCCAGUCUGCACAUGCUUGUCAGUGGUUCCACAGAGUUCAUGUUACGGUGUUUGCCAAAAAUGGGUUUAUUUGAUGAUUGGGAAGGAUAUGUUAUUGCAUCAUUGAAAAGGCAGCUUUGUUCUGAUGUAUAAAUGAGAAGGAAUGUUCAUUUUUUGUCUAGAUGGUUAGCUGUGUUGUAACAGCUCUCCUAAGUAUCAUUGUAACAACGUUGCCAAGCAUGAAAUUUCAUGCAUUUUCCAAUUUCAUUUACUAAAGAAUUAUAAAAAUAAAAUAAUGCUCAAGUUUAUAGCCCAUAUUGCUACAGAGAUGUUCCAGUUUCCACGCCAGGGUGGAAAAAUACCAUCAGAGCAAUGCAGGGAUAUUUACGUGAAUCCUCAGAAACUGCAGUGUAUCGUUCUAACUGGACAAUUAAUGUAAGAUUAUCUUUGAAGGAUAGGACUCUGUUUAUGGAUUACAACACCAAUGUUUGUGUGUGUAAUUUCAGUUCAAAUGUAAUCUAGGGGCAGGAUUUUGCUAUAGUGAUGCUACACAAGAUGUGCCAGGUAUCCUUCCAGAUGCUGUACCAUGAGGAUAUGAAUUUCCAGCAGGUCUUGUGUUGCAUCUGCUUCCAACAGCAAUACAUCUUGGAGGUCCUGGGACAUCUCAAGUGAUUGUGGCUAUUUUCACUUAGCUGGAUUGGAUUCAUCCUAGCUAAACUGUGAUUAUAGUCAAUAGUGUACAGUCAGUGUGAGGAAGCCUGCUGUGAAGCUCACUGUGGGCCAGUUGCUCUUUCAUUUGCUUCUUAUAUUCCAUGAGCAUAUUCCAUUACUAGAUCCUUCUUGACUAUAGCAGGAGUUUAGACACCUGGUACUCAUAUAAGUACGUCACAUAAGUAACUUAGCCAUCUUUGUCUCAAAUUGCAUCUCAUUUGUAGCGUCAGCCUUGUCCACUUUAUUAUGUGUUGUCUGUAUGGAUAAGAAAAGAUGGAAAUAAUUCUAGUAUUAAUUUCCUGCCUGCUAUUUCCUAAGGUGCAGGCUGUUUCUUUAGAGUCAGGAUGAAGGGCUGAGUACUACAACGAGAUCAGCAUACCUCACAUCACUUUAUCUAUAAUAAGAUCUUAGAUCAAAAUGAUUGAUUUAUUUUCAAAGAAUUUGGGUUUUGGAAAAGUUUGGGUUAUUUGGAUCAGAGUAAUUGUGGCAGGGGACUUAGAUUGAUGUUCGUGCUUCAAUCUUGAUGUUGCUGAGAGAGUCUGUUUGGAGCAAGAAAGGAUGCUUAUGUGAAUUGGGAAAUAGGAUAGAUUUUUAUUUAUUUAUGUUUUUUGAAAGGUUAGACUAUCCAAGCCAAUCCUUUUGAACCAGGGGAAUAAGGGCUGCAAAAAAACUGAUAUCAGUGCACAGAAGAUUUAUGAAUCUCUGUGUGGAGGGGAAGGCAGAUGUAGAUAAAGCAGGCAAGGUUAAAUCAUGCUUUGCCUGUAAUUCUGAGCAUGAUAUCAACGCUGGUUUCUUUGACUGCAAGGUCCUUUGGGAGCCUCGCACACACAGUACAAACAUCAGCUGAUCAGCUAUGUGCCAGGCCAUGCCUUAUUUUAUAAAUGUUUCUCUAAAUAUAUUUAAUCAAUAAUGAGCUCUUGUGUGGAAAAAAUACACCGCUUUCUGUUGAUGUUUUUUGGUGGUUUUUUUCUUUUUCGGCACAGAGGGAUCCCCCUCCCAUAGUUCUGAAAGCUAAAGAUGAGGUAUUUACCUGAGUGUUCAAAAUUAGGGCCAAGACUGUAACAUGGGUUUAGUGCCAGCAUAGUGACAUCUCUCCUUUAAUCCUGUUGCCAUAAACUCACUGGACGAUCCAGCACACACCUAAUGGUAAGGAAAAACCAGACUGUCAGUAUUGCUAACAGCUCUUGUAAUAACAAUGUCAUAAUAGUGUCCUAACCUGGUUUGUUUGUAUUCAGCAAAUCAACUCCAAAUUAUUCUGAUGUUUAGAUAAGAAAACAUUUGGAAGAUUUAUUUUUUGGGAAAGAUAGCUGUUUUUAAUCUCCUUCUCUGUUCAGUAGCUUUGGGUUGUUACAGUGAAGUUUUCCUCUCUGGUUGUGCUUCUUAAAGAAGGUACAUUUUUCUGUUUAGAAAUAACUCUGUAGUGAAGCGAAAGUAUGAUUUGUAAAAGUCAGCAGGGAAAAUAUCCUUUCAUGGGGGACAGUGUGGGAACAUGGAAAGUUAUUCUAAAAACUCUCCUGGAAUUUAGUAAGCUGUGUUUUAGUGGCAUUAUCCUCAGGAUAGGGGACUGGGAGUGAAGGAAGAGGCAGUUAUCAGCUAGAAUAUUUCUGUGGACUUCACUGCUAUAGUGUUUCAGCUCCUCAAAAUAACAGAUUUGUGAGUAGUCCCUUCCAUCUAUCCAUUUCUUUGGAAGCAAAACACUCAGAGCAUGGUUUCAGGGACAUGUUGUUGUCUUGAUUAAUUUUGCCUCUUGAAUUAUUUUUAAAUUCACUCAGAUAAAUGAAUGACACUUGUAACUAUUAUUUUCAUGUACUCAGAAUGGGGGGCCAUAUGCAAAAUGGGAAGAUGCAAUACCAUAGUGCUGAGAUGAGAUUUGAGAUUUUUGAAGGCAAGAUCCUCAAGUGCUAUCGGCUUUGCUGCCUCUAGAAAUAAAUAAGUUGUAUUAUGAAUGAGUUAUGUGAGUUCAGCAGUACUGAGAAAUUUAAAAGCACCAGGCCUGGUAGGACUGAGGUACACAAGGCCUCCUGCACGGCCAAGGACAGUGGGGAUCUAGGAAGAAAAAUAUUUCUAAAUGUCAACCUAAAUGACUGAGGGAUUGAACUGGAAAAGAGGUUAAGAACAUGCCCAAAACACAGAUGAGAUCCAGUUUUUUUUUGUUGCUCUUUUUCCAGACGUGCUUUAAAAAAUAAGGCACCAGCUUUCUCUUUCUGUCUGGGGAAAAAUAAAAACUGAUGUGGCCAGGGGAGGAGUGUGCAGUGUGAAUCCCAAGUGGAUGGGAGUUUCUUCUGCAGCCGUGAGGGAAGGAAAAGUUCAGAAUUCAGAACAUCUCAUUUCUAAGCCUUUCAUGUGAGGCUGGUGCUGAGCAAUUUCAGGAGGCUUGGGGCUGGUUUUCAGCAAGUUCCUGCUCAGUAAAUGACAGAAUCUUACUUUGAGAUACUUAAUUCUCAGAAAGGUGUAUAUAAUCUAUUUUUUUUUUUUACCGACGAAUACAGAGUAAUACUGAUUGAUCAUUACUCUCAAAUUUUCAGUUCUGCAAGAGACUUUGUGGCAUCUUCUGCUUCUUCUCAUCAGAUCUGAUGGCUUUCUGCAUGCCCUGACCACAGUAUAUGAAACAUCUCACUUCCUUCAGUUGGCUUCUGCUGAGCAAAACACCUCCAUGAUGUGUAAUUACUUCAUGUUUCCAAGGCCCUGAACAGAAGUCAUGAAGAAUCUCCCUCCUUCACUUCUUCCUUGUGUUUGCUGGCAUGGAGAAUUAGAGGACUGUGUAGUCACCCAUAUGUUUUAUGUUAUUUAGUUUGGUGGGUUUUUUCUGCUGAGUGUUCCUUGACACCUUUUCAAAGAUGAGCUCACUUCAUUGGCCCUGUUUACUGGUGAGGUAGCAGAGAUGCCUGUCUUGAGUGAAGCUUUGAGGUCUCCUCAUUCAAGCAUAGCUUUUUCUUUACUUGGACUCACACAUGCAGUAAUUAUAAUUAUGGUGCUCUGUCACUCCUUAAAAUAUUUUGAUCAUGAGAUUUUGACAUUUUUUCCUCUUUGUAGCAUCCUUUUUUUUUCUUUCUUUUUUAUUUUUAUUUUUACCAUUUCCUUCAUUACUUGAAGCAAAAAAAGGCCAUUUCAGGAUUUCAGAAUACAUGCAUGCGUAAUUUUCUGUAAGCUGACAUGUAUCUUCCUGCUUUCUUGUGGCUUGAAAUGAAUUCUAGAUUUUUCGAGCGGUGAUAUAAGCCAUUAAACAGUCUUGCUGUCUAACCAGUCACAGUGCUUCUGUAAAUCCUCCUCUUUCUUCAGAUAAAAAUCAGAAACAGCAGAGUGAGAAAACCAGGCUGUUUAGGAAUUAAUAACAUGUUUUAUUGAGCCAGAACAAGUGGGUUGCAGUGAUGUACCAUUGAUGUGCAUCAUCUUUAUUUAAGCUACAGCUGCAGUCAUGAGUUGAUGACCAGCAAUAGUUUGCUGCUAGCUUACAGGUUGCCCAGAGAGGUGGUGGAUGCCCCAUCCCUGGAGGCACUCAGGGUCAGGUUGUAUGGAGCUCUGAGUACCUGGUGGAGCUGUAGGUGUUCUUGUUCAUUGCAGAGGAUUUGGACUAGAUGGUCUUUAAGGAUCCCUUCCAACUCAAAUAAUUCUAUGAUUCUGUGUUCUAUCUCAACUUUGGCAUGCCAUUCCCAGUAAAAACCAUUCCUUCUCCCCUCUGGGAUAACCUCUGUGUGGGAAGCUUGAAGGCCAAAGAGAAGUUGCAGUCUGUAUUUUUGUAGCCAACAUGGCUCUUUUUGGCAGAAUCCUUAUAUUGCCUGGGUAGCUGCCAAGCUUUGCAGUCUCCUCCCAGAACAGUGCCAUACAAUGCAUGUCGAUGUGUUUCCAGCUCAGGAAGCUCCCUAUGCUCUCCGUCCUUCAUAGUGCCCCAGUGAUGGAGAUCAGAAUCUUUGUGUCUUUAUGUGGAGAUCAAAUCUUCUUAUGUCAGUAUCAAGUAGAGGCUGUUGCCUCAAGUGCAAUAUUUAGAACCCUAUCCAACAUUCUUUGUCUUGAGCUUCUUUUAAGGCUCCAUCUCUCCAUCUGCCAAAAGUCUCAAGCCUGGCUAAGAAUCAGGACUAUUCUGUCACAUUUUGUUUUCAUAUUUUCAACAGCAGUAAAUUGGCUAUUUGUUAAUAAAAUCUAGAUAUAAUCAAAAGCUGUGUAUUGAAUUUCUUCAACCAAGUUGUAAUUUACUUUUUGGUGUGUUGC